RNAcentral lists this long non-coding RNA (307 nucleotides) under Scleropages formosus (Asian bonytongue). RNAcentral describes it as "lncRNA (ENSSFOG00015026065.1)". The record is from RNAcentral. Lineage: Eukaryota; Metazoa; Chordata; Actinopteri; Osteoglossiformes; Osteoglossidae.
CGUGUGAAGCCGGCAGUGUCGUUGUCCGGUGCGGUGCGCGCGAGACGCGUGCGUUUCAGCCACGGACUCGCUACGGACAGUCAUGUCCCGGUGCGGUUGGACCGGCGAUGGACCGGGAACUGACCGAGCUAGCUGUGUGCGCGUGCUCGUGUAAGCGCGGCCUGGCAGCUGACUCCUCUCUCUCUCGUGCGCCGCGCUCCCUUCUCGACUCCACUUUCAGGCCGCACCGCUAUUUUUCUUCAGCCCACAAUGUACAACAGGUUCGCACUUUUUCACGAGCUGGUUGGCCGCACCUGGUGCUCGCAGC